Molecule: ribosomal RNA, 485 nt
Filed under: uncultured bacterium
Lineage: Bacteria
Description: bacterial SSU rRNA
Rfam family: Bacterial small subunit ribosomal RNA
Source: RNAcentral
UUGAACGCUGGCGGCAUGCCUUACACAUGCAAGUCGAACGGCAGCACGGGAGCAAUCCUGGUGGCGAGUGGCGAACGGGUGAGUAAUAUAUCGGAACGUGCCCAGUCGUGGGGGAUAACGUAGCGAAAGCUACGCUAAUACCGCAUACGAUCUAUGGAUGAAAGCGGGGGAUCGCAAGACCUCGCGCGAUUGGAGCGGCCGAUAUCAGAUUAGGUAGUUGGUGAGGUAAAGGCUCGGACCAAGCCGACGAUCUGUAGCUGGUCUGAGAGGACGACCAGCCACACUGGGACUGAGACACGGCCCAGACUCCUACGGGAGGCAGCAGUGGGGAAUUUUGGACAAUGGGCGCAAGCCUGAUCCAGCAAUGCCGCGUGCAGGAUGAAGGCCUUCGGGUUGUAAACUGCUUUUGUACGGAACGAAACGGUGAGCUCUAAUACAGUUUGCUAAUGACGGUACCGUAAGAAUAAGCACCGGCUAACUACGUG